This 422-nucleotide ribosomal RNA is filed under the name uncultured bacterium. RNAcentral's name for it is "bacterial SSU rRNA". It matches the Rfam family "Bacterial small subunit ribosomal RNA", at positions 362 to 776 of the family's 1533-position model. The record is from RNAcentral.
UAUUGGACAAUGGGCGAAAGCCUGAUCCAGCCAUGCCGCGUGUGUGAAGAAGGUCUUCGGAUUGUAAAGCACUUUAAGUGGGGAGGAAGGGCAUUAACCUAAUACGUUAGUGUUUUGACGUUACCGACAGAAUAAGCACCGGCUAACUAUGUGCACGCAGCCGCGGUAAUAUAGAGGGUGCAAGCGUUAACCGGAAUGACUGGGCGUAAAGCGCGCGUAGGUGGUUUGUUAAGUUGGAUGUGAAAGCCCCGGGCUCAACCUGGGAACUGCAUCCAAAACUGGCAAGCUAGAGUACGGUAGAGGGUGGUGGAAUUUCCUGUGUAGCGGUGAAAUGCGUAGAUAUAGGGAGGAACACCAGUGGCGAAGGCGACCACCUGGACUGAUACUGACACUGAGGUGCGAAAGCGUGGGGAGCAAACAGG